RNAcentral lists this ribosomal RNA (200 nucleotides) under uncultured bacterium. RNAcentral's name for it is "partial 16S ribosomal RNA". It matches the Rfam family "Bacterial small subunit ribosomal RNA", at positions 8 to 203 of the family's 1533-position model. The record is from RNAcentral.
AGAGUUUGAUCCUGGCUCAGAACGAACGCUGGCGGCGUGCCUGAGACAUGCAAGUCGUGGGAGAAUUUCGUAGCAAUACGGAUAGUAAACCGGCGCACGGGUGAGUAACACGUGGACAAUCUGCCUCGGAGACUGGGAUAACUCGUCGAAAGACGGGCUAAUACCAGAUAAGACCACGGGGAGUUCGCUUCCUGAGGUAA